GUGCAGCCUCUCUUGAAAUUGCUUCUCCUUAAGUGCCACUUCUUCCAUCCUCUUGCCAAUCAGCUUGAAUUGGUCUUCAAUUACCUUCUCCCUCACCUUCAGGCUCUUAUAUUUACUGUCAUACACUUGAAACCUUGCUAGUCUUUUCUUAUAAUCCUGCACUUUAAAUUCAAGCUCUUGAAGCCGCUUUUCUUUUGCUU
Molecule: long non-coding RNA, 200 nt
Filed under: Linum usitatissimum (flax)
Lineage: Eukaryota; Viridiplantae; Streptophyta; Magnoliopsida; Malpighiales; Linaceae
Description: long non-coding RNA (LUSI_LNC000015)
Source: RNAcentral